This 497-nucleotide ribosomal RNA is filed under the name uncultured bacterium. Its description in RNAcentral is "partial 16S ribosomal RNA". It matches the Rfam family "Bacterial small subunit ribosomal RNA", at positions 28 to 507 of the family's 1533-position model. The record is from RNAcentral.
GAUGAACGCUGGCGGCGUGCCUAAUACAUGCAAGUCGAGCGAACAGACGAGGAGCUUGCUCCUCUGACUUUAGCGGCGGACGGGUGAGUAACACGUGGAUAACCUACCUAUACGACUGGGAUAACUUCGGGAAACCGGAGCUAAUACCGGAUAAUAUAUUGAACCGCAUUGUUCAAUAGUUAAAGACGGUUUUGCUGUCACUUAUAGAUUGAUCCGCGCCCCAUUAGCUAGUUGGUAAGGUAACUGCUUACCAAGGCAACGAUUCUUAGCCGACCUAAGCGGGAGAUCGGACAGCCGGGAACUGAGACAGGGCCCAGACUCCUACGGGAGGAAGCAGUAGGGAAUCUUCCGCGAUGGGCGAAUGCCUGACGGAGCAACGCCGCGUGAGGGAUGAAGGUCUUCGGAUCGGAAAACUCUGUUAGUAGGGAAGAACAAAUGUGUAAGUAACUAUGCACGUCUUGACGGUACCUAAUCAGAAAGCCACGGCUAACUACGUG